Long non-coding RNA from Homo sapiens (human), 792 nucleotides. Ensembl annotates it as transmembrane protein 191A (pseudogene). Its record names the gene TMEM191A. The record is from Ensembl. NCBI's taxonomy places the organism in Eukaryota, Metazoa, Chordata, Mammalia, Primates, Hominidae.
CUGUCUCUUGGUUCCUCUCGGAAGUCCUGCCCUUGCCCUCGCUCUCAUUGCCUCCCCGUCCCUGUCUCCCCUGACACUCGUUCCUCCAGAAGCCCGGUAAACCCCGUCCUUACGAGCCCCGCCCCUAGCUCUUCUACUACGGAGGGGAACUGCAGAGCCAGAAGAGCACGGAGCAGCAACUCGCAGCCCAAUUGGUGACGCUGCAGAAUGAACUGGAGCUGGCGGAGACCAAAUGCGCCUUGCAGGAGGAGAAGCUGCAGCAGGACGCGCUGCAGACAGCGGAGGCCUGGGCCAUAUUCCAGGAGCAGACCGUAGUCCUGCAGGUGCGGCCCCACUCAGACGCCAAGGUGCCUCCCGCCUCUCCUCCCCCAGACCUGGGGCGGUGUGACGGGCAGCUUCGCAGAGUGCAGUACAGCACCGAGUCGCUCAUGGAGGAGAUGGCCAGGGCGGACCGAGAGACGCGGCUGUUCGGCGGUCCUCGCGCGCUGGCCAUCAGGCGCUGCUGACGCUGCCGCUCCUCUUCCUGGGGCUGUCGCUGCUCUGGACGGUGCUGUUGGACCCCGGCGCCGUCUCCGCGUGGCUCUGGAGCCUCACCUCGGAGACGACGCUGCGCCGCCUGCGCUACACGCUGUCCCCGCUGCUGGAGCUGCGCGCUAACGGGCUGCUGCCAACCUAAGUGCAGCGCCCCGCGCCUGGCUCCAGGUGGACUCCAGGGCACCGGCUUUAUUUCUGGUGCACUCCUCUCCUGAGAGUGUAGACCAAGGUCGCCUAAUAAACUCCUCAAGGGAUGAA